Molecule: ribosomal RNA, 400 nt
Filed under: uncultured bacterium
Lineage: Bacteria
Description: bacterial SSU rRNA
Rfam family: Bacterial small subunit ribosomal RNA
Source: RNAcentral
UUAGGAAUCUUCCACAAUGGGCGAAAGCCUGAUGGAGCGACGCCGCGUGAGGGAUGAAGGCCUUAGGGUUGUAAACCUCUAAAAGAGGGACGAUAAUGACGGUACCUCUUGAAUAGCGCCGGCUAACUCCGUGCCAGCAGCCGCGGUAAUACGGAGGGUGCAAGCGUUAUCCGGAAUCACUGGGCGUAAAGGGCGCGUAGGCGGUCUGUUAAGUCCGAUGUUAAAUCCCGGGGCUCAACCCCGGAUAAGCGUUGGAUACUGGCAGGCUAGACGGUUGGAGAGGCGAGUGGAAUUACCAGUGUAGCGGUGGAAUGCGUAGAUACUGGUAGGAACACCCAUUGCGAAGGCAGCUCGCUGGACAACACGUGACGCUGAGGCGCGAAAGUGUGGGGAGCAAACC